UUGGAAUGUGGAUGUAAGGCUGGAGCUCCACCUGAGACCGUGGAGAAAAGGGCCUCAUUCAAGGGAUAGCGGAGUGGAAAGCCAGAAGCAUAUGGACCCCACAUUUCCACACCAUCUCUGAACAUCCUACCUCUGGACUUCAGUGGGAGAGCUGACUCACUUCCCUGCCAGUGCUUACUGAAAUCACCUUCCAGGGACGAUGAAAGCACCAGGGUCCAGCUGCACUCCUACCUUCGGUCGUGACAUGACGCGAUUCCUCAGGGUCCGAUUCAAACCGCCACCUCACCGGGCAGGAGCCUUUGCGUCCUGUUGCCAAGGCGACGGAGGGGGUGCCCGGACCCGCCGCUCUGAUUGGAUGAGCCAAGAGCACUUCUUCUGGAGCGGUCGGCGGAUCCGAGAGGCAGGAAGCCAUUGCACGCCCCGGUGGCCCAGACCCCUCCACUCCCGCAAAACUUUCUCCCAGCCCCACGCCUCCGAAGCCGUAGGACACUCCCGGCCAGAGUCUGCCGCGGGCAUUCACGGCCCAGAGCCCCUUCCAGCUGAACUCCGCUUGACCCGAGAGCGCUGAGUCUGAAAAGUUGUCAGCUUUUGGAAAAUGCAAUGGUUCUGUUUCCUUACUCCGGCCCUCGCUAAGUCCCCUGGUCAGUUAGUUGGUCAGUUAGUUGAUCAGUUGAUAACGCUGCCAGUCACUUCUGCUCUCUCCAGCCACUCUGUAAUUCUGAGCACCGACUCUGCCAGCGCUCACCUCAACGCCUGCAGGAGCCACCUACCUGGCCGGUCUACUAGUGACCGCUAUUGCCCUGCCCAUUCCAGUUUCGUUCUCUGCACUGCGGGCAAAGAGCUCUUUCAAACACAAAUCCGACCUUCGUUCUCCCCUGCAUAUAACCUGAAGUGGCAACUUAUUGAUCAAUGCACUCUGUACUGGCUCCCUGUCCUCCCACCCCCCCACCCCCCCACCCCCACU
Myotis myotis is the source of this 964-nucleotide long non-coding RNA. RefSeq lists it as uncharacterized. The record is from RefSeq and is a predicted model, not a curated record. Lineage: Eukaryota; Metazoa; Chordata; Mammalia; Chiroptera; Vespertilionidae. The transcript has 3 exons.